GUCAGAUAAUAUUACAUCCUUCAUUAACAAAAAUUCAAGAUGUAUUGAUAGACUUUAUAACAAAUAUUAUAAAUGCAAAUAAGAACAUUCCUCGGGUUGAAAAGUUAAUGUUUCCAGAAAUGAAAGAUGAUAAACUUUAUUUGAUGCCAGUUCUACAGGAUGAUAUUGAGGUGCAGAAAUGCAUUGAAAGAACUAAAAAAAUUUAUCAAAAUAAUUUUUUAGGUUCUAUAGGAAAAAAGUUUCAAGAAAUAUUUGCUGAUUUUACUGAUAUAAUAGAAGGAAAAGCUUCUCAGGAUUUCAAAGAAUUUAUUGAAUCUAAACC
This 322-nucleotide long non-coding RNA is filed under the name Androctonus crassicauda. The record is from RNAcentral. Lineage: Eukaryota; Metazoa; Arthropoda; Arachnida; Scorpiones; Buthidae.